Molecule: ribosomal RNA, 384 nt
Filed under: uncultured Alphaproteobacteria bacterium
Lineage: Bacteria; Pseudomonadati; Pseudomonadota; Alphaproteobacteria
Description: bacterial SSU rRNA
Rfam family: Bacterial small subunit ribosomal RNA
Source: RNAcentral
GAGUUUGAUCCUGGCUCAGAACGAACGCUGGCGGCAGGCCUCAAACAUGCAAGUCUAGGGGGUAGCAAUACCACCGGCGGACGGGUGCGUAACACGUGGGAAUAUACCUUUUGGUUCGGAACAACGCAGGGAAACUUGCGCUAAUACCGAAUGUGCCCUUACGGGGAAAGAUUUAUCGCCAAAGGAUUAGCCCGCGUCCGAUUAGCUAGUUGGUGAGGUAAUGGCUCACCAAGGCUCCGAUCGGUAGCUGUUCUGAGAGGAAGAUCAGCCACACUGGGACUGAGACACGGCCCAGACUCCUACGGGAGGCAGCAGUUGGGAAUCUUGGACAAUGGGGGAAACCCUGAUCCAGCCAUGCCGCGUGAGUGAUGAAGGCCUUCGGUU